AACUGAUACUACCUGCGGGAACCUGCGGAAGGAUCAUUACCGAGUGCGGGCCCUCUGGGUCCAACCUCCCAUCCGUGUCUCUUGUACCCUGUUGCUUCGGCGGGCCCGCCUUCAUGGCCGCCGGGGGGCUUCUGCCCCCGGGCCCGCGCCCGCCGGAGACUCCAACAUUGAACACUGUCUGAAGGUUGCAGUCUGAGUUUUCAUAUAAGAAAAAUCGUUAAAACUUUUAACAACGGAUCU
RNAcentral lists this unclassified non-coding RNA (240 nucleotides) under soil metagenome. RNAcentral describes it as "partial contains 5.8S ribosomal RNA, internal transcribed spacer 2, and large subunit ribosomal RNA". The record is from RNAcentral.